UAGACUAGAGCCUGGUACUAGGUGUUUGGUUGUUAACCAAGAGGUUGUAGGAUAGAAGCCUACUAGUUUAG
This 71-nucleotide transfer RNA is filed under the name Thorius n. sp. RLM-2004. Its description in RNAcentral is "tRNA-Asn". It matches the Rfam family "tRNA". Rfam says of the family: Transfer RNA (tRNA) molecules are approximately 80 nucleotides in length. Their secondary structure includes four short double-helical elements and three loops (D, anti-codon, and T loops). The record is from RNAcentral. Lineage: Eukaryota; Metazoa; Chordata; Amphibia; Caudata; Plethodontidae.